This 1614-nucleotide unclassified non-coding RNA is filed under the name Saguaro cactus virus. RNAcentral describes it as "large subgenomic RNA". The record is from RNAcentral. Lineage: Riboviria; Orthornavirae; Kitrinoviricota; Tolucaviricetes; Tolivirales; Tombusviridae.
GGUGACCUUAACAACCCUAUCCUAGAAUGGACGUUCCUGUAGACACUGAACUGAUGGUGAAACCAGCCGGGAAGAGGGGGAAAACAAAAGCUAAAGUGGACAUAGCCAAGGAUGCUGUGCGGAAACAAGCACCUAGCACUACUAAUGGGGGUAAUUGGGUUGUUGUUGCUGAUAAGGUGGAGGUUCAUAUUGCCUUCAACUUUUAGUUUGCCCCCACUGGUAACGCUAGAACAAAUCAUCGUACUUAGCUUUUGUGGUCUCUUAAUUUCCUGCGCUUGUAAGGCAGAUACAACGCUGGUUUGGCACUAUUCCGACAACAAUUCAAAGAAUCAACACAUCACAAUCUCCACACCUAAUGGACGCUAAGUAUGGGAAGGAUCCGCGCCUGGCUGCUGCUGCUGCUACUGGUGCAGCUUGGGCAGUGCGUUUUCUUAAUAGGGGUUGGGCUUCGCUCUCCCCGAAACAGAAGCGCACCGCUCGAUCUGUGCUGGGGUUGCAGAAUCAGCCUGAUGUUAUCGUGCCUGUACGACCUCGUGCUACUGCUCGUGUCGCCAGGCCCACUAGGCAGGGUCCCGGGCUUGCGGGGAAAUCCAUGACAAUUACCAAGUGCGAAUACCUUUCUGACAUUGUCUCUCACGUGGGUACUAUUCCACUAACCGACCAUUGGGUGGUCAAUCCUGGCACCAUUAAGACUUUUCCCCAGACUAGCCUCAUGGCUUCGCAGUUCAACAAGUAUAGGUUGACUGCCCUGAGGGUGCGCUAUACUAGCACCUGUAGCUUUGAGACGUCUGGGCGUGUGGCAAUCGCGUUCACUAACGAUAGUAAUGAUCCACUGCCCACCACCAAGUCGCAGCUGUACAACUUCCCUGUACAUAUCGAGGCAGCUGCGACCGAGUCUAAGGUGCUGACCAUCCCGUGCGAUAACGUUUAUCGGUUUGUGAGGGACGAUGGGGUAUCCGAUCCUAAACUCGUGGAUUUCGGAAGAAUUGUAGUGUGCACGUAUGGAUCGAGCGCUGCGGACCCAGCGACUCUAGGCGAACUCUUUAUUGAGUACACGAUCGUCUUCUCUGAUCCAACCUACACUUCUUCUCUCACACAGCAAGGUGAGAAUCAGCGCAGUAUUGGUCCACGCUACGCCACAGUAGACUACGAGUCCACCCGCUGGGAGUGUCAACUACAAGCAGCUGGUCGAUGGUUGGUCUGCUGGGUAAGUGAUAGCGCCAUCCCUUCCCCUUCGAUCGUGGGGGUAGGAGCUAAGGGUAAGGUGCUAACGAGUUCUGACUCAAAGUGCGGGAUUGCAACCGUUAUUGCUCAAGCUCCGUACUGUUCCAUUGUUUCUACUACUGUAUCGGCCCCGUCAAGCUUGACGUGGUUUGUUGCUCGACUGUGAGGGGACCUACCCACUGUGCUGCCACACAGGAACUUCCAACCUUCGGGUGGCGAGGUAGGGCAGAAGAGUGACUGAACGAGGAUGGUGUAGAGCAAUGGAUGGGGGGGGAGUCCAUGGUGGGCUCCGGCGCGACGAUGCUAAAAUCUCCAUAUCAUGUGUGGAGUGGGCUGCUUAGUCGCUUAUUAGUUGAAAAUUAGGGGGGUCCUUAGGGACCUCUCCCGCCC